Molecule: unclassified non-coding RNA, 369 nt
Filed under: Hevea brasiliensis (rubber tree)
Lineage: Eukaryota; Viridiplantae; Streptophyta; Magnoliopsida; Malpighiales; Euphorbiaceae
Source: RNAcentral
UAGGCUCUCUUUCUAGAAAGACUGUGAUCUGGAAUUGUUUUGUAAAUUAUGAUUUUAAUGCACUAAUUUAAUGGAAAUAGUAGGUAAGAACUUCACUUAUCAAUUAGUUUCUCACUUUCUGUUCUGCCUCUACACUUUGCAACAAGGGACAGGGAUUUGUGAUCUUUAUUAUUAUAAUUUUUAUAACCUGCAUCUUUCUAUGAAAAUAUUGAGUUGAGCAAGAGAAAGUAUAAUAGAGUCCUCUUUCAGGCACUUUCUUUUCCUCCUUUCACGCUUAUAAGGAAGUUGUUGGUCUUAAGACAUCCAGCACUUAUGUGAAGAAACUUACUAUUUUUUUUUCCUCUCCUUCUGUGGUUUUUUUCUUGAUGC